This 477-nucleotide ribosomal RNA is filed under the name uncultured bacterium. RNAcentral's name for it is "SSU rRNA". It matches the Rfam family "Bacterial small subunit ribosomal RNA", at positions 26 to 518 of the family's 1533-position model. The record is from RNAcentral.
AGGACGAACGCUGGCGGCGUGCUUAACACAUGCAAGUCGAGCGAGGCCCUCUCUUCGGAGAGGUGCCCUAGCGGCGAACGGGUGAGUAACACGUGGGCAACCUGCCCCUAGCACUGGGAUAAGCCCGGGAAACCGGGUCUAAUACCGGAUACGACCACCUUAGACAUCUUUUGUGGUGGAAAGAAUUUCGGCUAGGGAUGAGCUCGCGGCCUAUCAGCUUGUUGGUGGGGUAACGGCCUACCAAGGCGACGACGGGUAGCCGGCCUGAGAGGGCGACCGGCCACACUGGGACUGAGACACGGCCCAGACUCCUACGGGAGGCAGCAGUGGGGAAUAUUGCGCAAUGGGCGAAAGCCUGACGCAGCGACGCCGCGUGGGGGAUGAAGGCCUUCGGGUUGUAAACCCCUUUCAGCAGGGACGAAGCGAAGUGACGGUACCUGCAGAAGAAGCGCCGGCUAACUACGCGCCAGCAGCCGC